CUACGGGACGCACUAGUGGGGAAUAUUGGACAAUGGGGGAAACCCUGAUCCAGCAAUGCCGCGUGUGUGAAGAAGGCCUGCGGGUUGUAAAGCACUUUCGGUUGGGAGGACUGCUUCUAGCACUAAUAUUGUUGGAAGUUGACGUUACCUUCAGAAGAAGCACCGGCUAACUCCGUGCCAGCAGCCGCGGUAAUACGGGGGGUGCAAGCGUUAAUCGGAAUUACUGGGCGUAAAGCGCGCGUAGGCGGCUAGAUCAGUCGGGUGUGAAAGCCCCGGGCUUAACCUGGGAACUGCAUCCGAUACUGUCUAGCUAGAGUACAGGAGAGGAGAGUGGAAUUCCACAUGUAGCGGUGAAAUGCGUAGAUAUGUGGAGGAACACCAAUGGCGAAGGCAGCUCUCUGGCCUGAUACUGACGCUGAGGUGCGAAAGCGUGGGGAGCAAACAGGAUUAGAUACCCUAGUAGUC
Molecule: ribosomal RNA, 465 nt
Filed under: uncultured bacterium
Lineage: Bacteria
Description: partial 16S ribosomal RNA
Rfam family: Bacterial small subunit ribosomal RNA
Source: RNAcentral